Molecule: ribosomal RNA, 645 nt
Filed under: Pantoea sp. DJM4G9
Lineage: Bacteria; Pseudomonadati; Pseudomonadota; Gammaproteobacteria; Enterobacterales; Erwiniaceae
Also listed under: 1 other name
Description: bacterial SSU rRNA
Rfam family: Bacterial small subunit ribosomal RNA
Source: RNAcentral
UUCCGGAGCUAACGCGUUAAGUCGACCGCCUGGGGAGUACGGCCGCAAGGUUAAAACUCAAAUGAAUUGACGGGGGCCCGCACAAGCGGUGGAGCAUGUGGUUUAAUUCGAUGCAACGCGAAGAACCUUACCUGGCCUUGACAUCCAGAGAACUUAGCAGAGAUGCUUUGGUGCCUUCGGGAACUCUGAGACAGGUGCUGCAUGGCUGUCGUCAGCUCGUGUUGUGAAAUGUUGGGUUAAGUCCCGCAACGAGCGCAACCCUUAUCCUUUGUUGCCAGCGNUUCGGCCGGGAACUCAAAGGAGACUGCCGGUGAUAAACCGGAGGAAGGUGGGGAUGACGUCAAGUCAUCAUGGCCCUUACGGCCAGGGCUACACACGUGCUACAAUGGCGCAUACAAAGAGAAGCGACCUCGCGAGAGCAAGCGGGACCUCAUAAAGUGCGUCGUAGUCCGGAUUGGAGUCUGCAACUCGACUCCAUGAAGUCGGAAUCGCUAGUAAUCGUAGAUCAGAAUGCUACGGUGAAUACGUUCCCGGGCCUUGUACACACCGCCCGUCACACCAUGGGAGUGGGUUGCAAAAGAAGUAGGUAGCUUAACCUUCGGGAGGGCGCUUACCACUUUGUGAUUCAUGACUGGGGUGAAGUCG